GGAGUAUGGACCGUGUCUCAGUUCCAUUGUGGGGGACCUUCCUCUCAGAACCCCUACCCAUCGUCGCCUCGGUGGGCCGUUACCCCGCCGACUAGCUAAUGGGACGCGAGCCAAUCCGUGACCACCGGAGUUUUCAACCAUGGACCAUGCGACCCACGGUAGUAUGGGGGGUUAGGCGACGUUUCCAUCGGUUAUCCCCCGGUCACGGGCAUGUCGCUCACGCGUUACGCACCCUUGCGCCGGUCGCCGCCAGAUGUAUUGCUACACCCGCGAUGCCCCUCGACUUGCAUGUGUUAAGCCUGCCGCUAGCGUUCAUC
Molecule: ribosomal RNA, 317 nt
Filed under: uncultured Bacteroidales bacterium
Lineage: Bacteria; Pseudomonadati; Bacteroidota; Bacteroidia; Bacteroidales
Description: partial 16S ribosomal RNA
Source: RNAcentral